Molecule: ribosomal RNA, 495 nt
Filed under: uncultured marine bacterium
Lineage: Bacteria
Description: bacterial SSU rRNA
Rfam family: Bacterial small subunit ribosomal RNA
Source: RNAcentral
UGGGGAAUCUUGGACAAUGGGGGCAACCCUGAUCCAGCCAUGCCGCGUGAGUGAUGAAGGCCUUAGGGUCGUAAAGCUCUUUCGCCUGUGAAGAUAAUGACGGUAGCAGGUAAAGAAACCCCGGCUAACUCCGUGCCAGCAGCCGCGGUAAUACGGAGGGGGUUAGCGUUGUUCGGAAUUACUGGGCGUAAAGCGCACGUAGGCGGACUGGAAAGUUGGGGGUGAAAUCCCGGGGCUCAACCCCGGAACUGCCUCCAAAACUAUCAGUCUAGAGUUCGAGAGAGGUGAGUGGAAUUCCGAGUGUAGAGGUGAAAUUCGUAGAUAUUCGGAGGAACACCAGUGGCGAAGGCGGCUCACUGGCUCGAUACUGACGCUGAGGUGCGAAAGUGUGGGGAGCAAACAGGAUUAGAUACCCUGGUAGUCCACACCGUAAACGAUGAAUGCCAGUCGUCGGGUAGCAUGCUAUUCGGUGACACACCUAACGGAUUAAGCAUC